UACGGAGGGGGCUAGCGUUGUUCGGAAUUACUGGGCGUAAAGCGCACGUAGGCGGCUUUGUAAGUUAGAGGUGAAAGCCCGGGGCUCAACUCCGGAAAUGCCAUUGAAACUGUAAGACUUGAGGAUGAGAGAGGUGAGUGGAAUUCCCAGUGUAGAGGUGAAAUUCGUAGAUAUUGGGAAGAACACCGGUGGCGAAGGCGGCUCACUGGCUCAUAUCUGACGCUCAGGCGCGACAGCGUGGGGAUCAAACAGG
This 253-nucleotide ribosomal RNA is filed under the name uncultured bacterium. RNAcentral describes it as "partial 16S ribosomal RNA". It matches the Rfam family "Bacterial small subunit ribosomal RNA", at positions 524 to 776 of the family's 1533-position model. The record is from RNAcentral.